CUUCAUGAUGGAGAACUCUCUUUCCAGCAAUCUUGAUAUCCAACGGAAUAUGGCGGCUCCAAAAGAUCGUGUGAAGAAUGGAAAUCACGUUAGUGCAAAUUUUCAUCUUUUACGGAAAAGUUCGAUUGCAGACGGAGCAUCCAUAUCCAAGCCACCCAAGGAUCGGUUGCAGCUGGUGAGUCUCCAUUCAAGCAUGAAUCUAUCUGCAUUGUCCCCAGGCAGCAACUCCAUGCUUAAGUCCACGAGUGACAACCCAUUCAAUGAAGAUUCGCUCAGUUCCUGUCCCAGUGCUUCCGGGCCGCUGCAACUACUUGAAACAAAGAGACAAUCUAGAUGAACAGACCCAAGUAGCGCCCAAAUGCCCCAACAUCCCAAUCCAUAUUUUCUCGCCUAGUAAUUCACCAUCCCAAUUCAUAUUUUCUCGCUUAGCAGUUCACUGUCCGGAUCAUAUCAUGUUGAAAUCACAUGUCGUUUGCAUCAUCUCUUCUGUAAAUGCUUUGUCAAAUUCUUGUUGCUUGUGGGCCGGAUUCAAGAAAUUUUGUGAAAGAAAAAUUCAGUUUCGGGGCUCACUUUGGACAGUUGGUAAGCAUUACUUUGUGCUAUUAAGGUGCAUAUCUAUGAACUUUGCUUUUGAUAAUGAGUUGGGUUUGAUUUGAUGAGCGUUACUGCACGUGGAUUACUGUGCUAUACAUGGAUGAUUGAAAUUCAAGUUGAUACCAUGACCAAUAUAUGGAUAAUUACCCAAUGUUACAUGAAUGUCAUAUGAGGUUUUUAAGUAUUUGAUUAUUACUGACAUAUUUGAACUUUCUUUUUUGAGCUUACUAAUUAGCUUGAACUUGCAUUGUUUUUUCUUCCAGGUUACAUUCAGUGGGGUACUUGAUGGAUAUCUGCAUGCGCAAUGUAGGUUUGGCUUAUCUGGAGCAGGGAAAAGGAUACCAUUUUACUAAUAGGUUGUUGCUGUUGAGGGGGGAGCUUUGGGUGGUAUGGUCAGGCAGCUUUCCAUUGAUCAGUUUGAAAAUGAAGGCCAGUGGGUUAGCUAUGUGGUACUCCAGAGAA
Molecule: long non-coding RNA, 1056 nt
Organism: Magnolia sinica
Lineage: Eukaryota; Viridiplantae; Streptophyta; Magnoliopsida; Magnoliales; Magnoliaceae
Exons: 3
Source: RefSeq, a predicted model, not a curated record